CACGUAGGGGACGAGCGUUGUCCGGAUUCAUUGGGCGUAAAGCGCGCGUAGGCGGCCCGCUAAGUCGAACGUGAAAUCCCCGAGCUCAACUCGGGAACUGCGUCCGAUACUGGUGGGCUUGAAUCCGGGAGAGGGAUGCGGAAUUCCAGGUGUAGCGGUGAAAUGCGUAGAUAUCUGGAGGAACACCGGUGGCGAAGGCGGCAUCCUGGACCGGCAUUGACGCUGAGGCGCGAAAGCUAGGGGAGCAAACGGG
Molecule: ribosomal RNA, 253 nt
Filed under: uncultured bacterium
Lineage: Bacteria
Description: partial 16S ribosomal RNA
Rfam family: Bacterial small subunit ribosomal RNA
Source: RNAcentral